RNAcentral lists this unclassified non-coding RNA (368 nucleotides) under uncultured fungus. RNAcentral's name for it is "partial internal transcribed spacer 2". Lineage: Eukaryota; Fungi. The record is from RNAcentral.
AACGCAGAUGGCGCUCUCAUUCACGUGGGAGCAUGCCUCUUUCAGUGUCUGUUCCACUCUCCCUCGCCCUGCGUGGCGGAAACUGAGGCGGUGCGCUGUUCUGUAUUGAAUGGUGCUCGCCUUGAAGUGUCCAGCUGAGCUCGUUCCGAGUGCGCGCGCCCCCUGCGGGCGUGCGUGCGCGGCGCUCACUGAGAAAGUGACGUGGGUAAACUACCUCUGUACGUCGGCUUUCGUUUGCAGGUGAGCGGUCCGCGGCGCUUCACGCGCUGCGGCCGGUGAGCAUCCGCGCCCUCUCCCCGUCAAACGGGAGUCACGGCGCAACCCAACACACUGACCUGAAAUGAGGCAAGAGGACCCGCCGAAUUUAA